Non-coding RNA from Pantherophis guttatus, 3098 nucleotides. The record is from RefSeq and is a predicted model, not a curated record. NCBI's taxonomy places the organism in Eukaryota, Metazoa, Chordata, Lepidosauria, Squamata, Colubridae.
UUGCAGGAAUUGGGUAUGUCAAGUCUAGUGAAAAGAAGGAUUAGGGGUGACAUGAUAGCAGUGUUCCAAUAUUUGAGAGUCUGCCACAAAGAAGAGGAGGUCAACCUAUUCUCCAAAGCACUAGAAGGGAAGACAAGAAACAAUGGAUGGAAACUAGAACUAAGGAGAAAUUUCCUAAUUGUGAAAACAAUUAACCAGUGGAACAGCUUGCCUUCAGAAGUUGUGGGUGCUCCAUCACUGAAGACUUUUAAGAGACUAGACAGCCACUUGUAUGGAAUGAUAUAGAGUCUCCUGCUUGAGCAUGGAGUUAGACUAGAAGACCUCCAAUGUCCAUUCCAACUCUGUUAUUCUGUUAAAAGAAGUGGUCAUUUAGGAACAUAUGAGUCAUGGAGCACUGUUUGAUGAAAUGGAUUGUAGGUCUUAUAAUGAAGAUCCAAGAUCCUUGAUUCCAUUCUUUCUACCCCAUCUGUCCCAAAAAAACUUUCUUAGGAUAAGUUUUGUAAGUUGUCGAGUAUGGAAAGGAUGAGGAAUAUUUAAGAAAAACUCUAUGCUUUCCUUAUUUAUUUUUUUAUUGUAUUAUUAUGGUUAUCCCUUUUUUUUGUUUGUUUAAAUGGGUAUCUGUGUAACAAUAGCUUUCAUUUUCAGGAAUUCAAGGACAAUGAUUCAGACUAGCAGAAGAAAACAAGUCAGAGGAGGCGAAAAUCAUUUCUUGCCCAAAGGCUCUUCCUUCAGAAUGCUUAAAUUGUUUUUUUUUUUUUUUUAAACUGCGACAGUUAAAUUGUUGUAGGAAAAAUUGUAUCGGAUUGAAAUUUAAAAUGGCGUUUGAAACCUUACCUUUCUAGAUUUUUCUUUGCUAUCCAAAUAUUUUGUAAUUCUAUUCCAACUGAUUCCAUAGCUUAAUUCUUUUUGGAUUUUUUAAAAGGUCAGAAGAAGGAGAAACUCUAUAUUAAAGUUUUGCUUUAUUUUCUUAUUCUUUCUUCUCUUGUUUUUUCAAGGAUCUUACUGUUAGGGUCAGUGUCAUCUGAGCUAGAUCUUUCAGAGAAAUAAUUUUUAAUGCUUUCCAUACAUUCUCAAGAAAAUGCCUGUUAUUUGUGGAAGAAAGUUUCAAUUUCUCCUUUGACAGAAUGGAACUACACAUAAAUCCUUGACUUACAACUGAGCUCAAAAGUUAUAUAGCUAAGUGAAACAUUUGUUAAGUGAGUUUUGCCCCAUUUUACAACCUUUCUUUCCACAGUUGUUAAGUGAAUCACUGCAGUUAUUACGUUAAUAACAUGAACCUGGCUUCCCCAUUGGUUUUGCUUGUUUGAAGGUCGCAAAAGGGGACCACAGUGUUAAAUCUGAGUCAGUUGCCAAACGUCUGAAUUUUGAUCACAUGACUAUGGGGAGGCUGCAUUUGUUUUUAUGCUGCCCCAUGCCACUGGAGUUCUCUGUGUGGAAUGCACUAAUCAGGAACAUGGAAUUGAAUCUGGACAUUUAACUGAAUGUGGAGUAGAACUAUACGGAUUCUUCUAAACACCGUUAUCUGCCAGAUUGGCUGUUGAAUGACAGCAACUGUGGAACAUCCUAUAUCUGAGGGAGGGAAUAUAUAUCAGAUGCUGACUUGACCUUUGCUGCUUGAAUGCAUAGAUGAAAUGCCAUCAUACUGUCUUCAAGAAAUGUUCUGCUGAUAACUAUGCUCUCCACCAUACAGACAGUGAUCUACAGUUGAUGCCGAACAAAUUCCCAGUGCUGCUAUGUUCUUUGGCUAGACUACCAGCCUUAACAAGAUUGAAAUAUUUUACCAGCAAGUGCCAAGUAUCAAAUUCAUAGAAGCAAAAAUCACUGUUAACAACACCAAACUGACAGUGUAAAUAGCUUCAAAUAUUGGGAAGCAUUAUUUGGAGUGAUGGGUCUUUAGACAAAGAAAUUGAUUCCAGGAGGAGUGAGGCCAGCUUGGCUCUGGAACAGCUGCUUACUAGAGUGUUGUACUAGAGAUGCAGCCACAUCACCACAAAUCUGAAAAUCUACAGGGUUGUGGUUAUCCCUGCUCUCCUAUGUGGAUGUGAGUCCUGGACUCUGUACUGAUGACACUUCAAACAACUGGAGAAAUUUUACUUGGACACUCUUCACUCCAUCCUUGGCAUUUGUUGACAAGAUUAUAUAUCCACCCUGGAAAUCUUGGAUGAUACAAAGUCCACCAGUGUUCCAUCUCUGAUUAUCAAAGUCAGAGGCUGUGGAUGGAACACAUCAUCAGAAUGGAUGAGCACUGUUUGUCUCGCUGAUUGCUCUGUUGUGUCCCGGAGACUGGGAAGAGACUCCUGAGAGUCAUCCAUGCAAAUGUUACAAAGAUGCUGUGAAGGAAACCCUAUGCCACUGUGCCAUCCAGUAAAGGGAACUAGAAAUUGUGGCUUCUGAUAGAAUCCCGUGCUAUGAAACCUUAAUUAGCUUUGAAGAUACUGUAGGUGCUGCCAAAAAACUAAUAGAUAAACUCUAAGCAGCAUCACAGAAUAACACCCACAGUUAUUACAACAAUGGACUUCCAGUGGCCUCAUUGUAUAAAUUGUGCAUUUCCAGACUAGGACUGUAAAACCACCUGCAUCCCCAUAGAUUAAUUGCACAAGAGCAUUUCUUCUUUGAACCUGAAAGACUACCCAUAUAUCUUAGGUAAAAUAGCUAUUCAAAUACAGCAUGUUUCAGAUGCAUCUGAAGUUAGAGUGAUUGGGUUCCAAGCUAAGCCACAUUAGUGUAUUGUUUUUUGCCUGGUCUAUUUUAAUCAAGGAACCACCAAGGAGGGAACUAUGCCUCCAUCAAAAAUGUCUGGGCAAACUACUUCAUAUCAACAAGCAGCAAACCCAUAUCACUUGCACUGAUUAUGUUACCUAGUUUGGGUAAUGAAACAUCAGCAAGCAAGCAAGCUCAGAGAGCACCAAGGACUCCACAGUUCAGUCACAAACUAUAGAUAUUCUUCUCUGUUGGAGACACAUCUUUGCUAUGAAGUUAUUAAGCAUCAACUAUACGCAGAUAGUAGUACUGACUUACUUUGUAGAGCUGUAGUAAAGAUUGUAAGAUGACUUGACUACAUGAAGUGCCUGAGUAAUUAAAGAGUAAACUCUGAAGUA